Molecule: long non-coding RNA, 1308 nt
Filed under: Ananas comosus (pineapple)
Lineage: Eukaryota; Viridiplantae; Streptophyta; Magnoliopsida; Poales; Bromeliaceae
Description: long non-coding RNA (ACOM_LNC043972)
Source: RNAcentral
AUUUGAUUACUACACUAUUGACGGUAUUGAGCGUUUGAUGCUACCGUUAAAUCUAACUUUUUGACCAUUUUCACUCGUCAGACUAUACUAUUUAAACAACCACUUACUCAACUCUAGAAAAUCACUAUCAUCUUAAUCGCACAUCCCUUCGUUUAAAAGUAGAAAAUCUAAUAGCACAAGCCCCUAGUAAUAUGAAUAGUAUAGUAGCCUAGUUCUAUACAUAUUAUACAAAAGUAUAAUACUAUUAUUUUGAAUAUUAAUUUUAAUACAAAAUUGUGAGGAGACCGGCUACUAUGCUCUUAUGAGUUUGGUGGGCUCAUAAAUCAUUUUCGAUGAUACAACUUCUAAAUAUACGAUCUAUACCGCUAAAUAUUCAUUUGAAACUUUUAAGAACCAAAUUAUAUAAUAUUGCGAUAUUAUUUAUCUUAUGAUAUGGGAUGCUUGCUAGUUUAACUAUGUAAAAAUAUCAGAAUUUGUUGAAUUAUCUACAGAAAAGUCGGUUCACUAUCAAAAUAGAUAUCAAUAAAUUCAAUUUUAAAUUGAAGAAUUCCAAACAGCAAGCAUAGCCUUUCGAUUUAGAAUUUCUAUCAUCGAAAAUAACUUAUUAAUACGAAAGCUUUCAUACUCAUAAAAAUAUAGUAGCCAAGUAUUAAAGUGCCCAUCAGUAUGGACUGUAUCCACCGUGCCAUAUUGUACCAGCAAGAUAUCGGCACGAUACAGCUCCCGUGCCAAUGACAUAAUUCAAAACUCUUUAUUCUUGAAAUUAGUAAGUAAUUUUCUCAAUAAAAUACAAAAAAAUUUAUAAAAAAAUUAUAUAAUAAAUAAUUGACAUAUUUUAUUGCUAAAAAAAUAAAUAUUUCAUACCAUUACGUGUCGGUACAUAUAUAUUUUUUAUGACUAGCACUCAUCGGCCCAGCCCGACAUGUAUCAUGCCGUACCGUGCCGGUAAGUUUCCAUCACGAUCCCGUGCCAUGGCCCUUAAAUCUUUAAUAGUAGCCCUACUCGACUGUCAGAUUGUCUAAACUUAGAUAAUCUACUUUCUUACAUGAUAGGAUAGAAUUGACUUGUGAUAUAUUCUAUAUAGUAUUGCUGUUAUAAGAACAACUUUUUUUUUUUUAGAGAGAGAAAAAUAGUAUGUUAUCUAUAUUGAUUAUUUUUUUAGAAAUGACUUAGCUGAAAAAUGUAAAAUAAUUAGAUUUUGAACUUAAAAUUUCGAAUACUAAUCAUCAAAUCUUUUGUUACCUGUACAAGGGGCAGAAAUAUUUUAGCUCAAUUAUAUAUAUUCUACCACAAGAAGACGUUACUAUA